Molecule: unclassified non-coding RNA, 250 nt
Filed under: Hevea brasiliensis (rubber tree)
Lineage: Eukaryota; Viridiplantae; Streptophyta; Magnoliopsida; Malpighiales; Euphorbiaceae
Source: RNAcentral
GCAAAAUUUUUUCUAGGACUGUUAUGAGUAUUACUUUUGAUAAUGAUAUGCAGUCUUGCUGUUCUGUAGCAGCUCGGGUGAGAGGCCCAUAGUAGAAGUCCUUUAAGGACUCGCAAUCCUAUGCAAAGAAUCUGUUAAUUAUGUCAUCCAUAGUUAACAACUUACAAUCUUGGCUCUUAGGAUUUCUUAUCCUUUUUAUUUAUUUAUUAUGUUUCAACCUGUCGUAUAUCUAUUUCUCUCUUUUUUUUUU